ACGCUGACAGAAUGCUUAACACAUGCAAGUCUUUGGCGAAGCUGUGCUUGCACAGCCUAGCCAAGGCGGACGGGUGAGUAACGCGUAAGGAACUUGCCCUGCAGUCAGGGAUAACAGACGAAAACGACUGAUAAGACCUGGUAAAGUCAGGCGGACUCAUGUCCAGCCUGAUGAAAAGAGAUGCUGCAGGAGAGCCUUGCGUCCUAUUAGCUUGUUGGUGGGGUAACGGCCCACCAAGGCGAUGAUAGGUAGCCGGCCUGAGAAGGUGGACGGCCACAAGGGGACUGAGAUACGGCCCUUACUCCUACGGGAGGCAGCAGUGGGGAAUAUUGGACAAUGGGGGCAACCCUGAUCCAGCAAUUCUGUGUGCACGAUGAAGGUUUUCGGAUUGUAAAGUGCUUUCAGCAGGGAAGAAAAAAAUGACGGUACCUGCAGAAGAAGCGACGGCUAAAUACGUGCCAGCAGCCGCGGUAAUACGUAUGUCGCAAGCGUUAUCCGGAAUUAUUGGGCAUAAAGGGCAUCUAGGCGGCCAGAUAAAAAAUGGGGUGAAAACUUGCGGCUCAACCGCAAGCCUGCCCUGGAAACUAUGUGGCUAGAGUACUGGAGAGGUGGACGGAACUGCACGAGUAGAGGUGAAAUUCGUAGAUAUGUGCAGGAAUGCCGAUGAUGAAGAUAGUUCACUGGACGGUAACUGACGCUGAAGUGCGAAAGCUAGGGGAGCAAACAGGAUUAGAUACCCUGGUAGUCCUAGCUGUAAACGAUGAUUACUGGGUGUGGGCAUGAAGAGUGUCCGUGCCGAAGCUAAUGCGAUAAGUAAUCCGCCUGGGGAGUACGGCCGCAGGGCUGAAACUCAAAGGAAUUGACGGGGACCCGCACAAGCGGUGGAGCAUGUGGUUUAAUUCGACGC
This 907-nucleotide ribosomal RNA is filed under the name uncultured bacterium. RNAcentral describes it as "bacterial SSU rRNA". It matches the Rfam family "Bacterial small subunit ribosomal RNA", at positions 33 to 957 of the family's 1533-position model. The record is from RNAcentral.